This 22-nucleotide non-coding RNA is filed under the name Rattus norvegicus (Norway rat). The record is from RNAcentral. Lineage: Eukaryota; Metazoa; Chordata; Mammalia; Rodentia; Muridae.
AGCAGCCAUCACUGAGGCCAGC